UGCGCAGGCGGUUUUGAAAGUCAGAUGUGAAAUCCCCGGGCUCAACCUGGGAACUGCGUUUGAAACUCCAAGACUCGAGUAUAGGAGAGGGGGGUAGAAUUCCAGGUGUAGCGGUGAAAUGCGUAGAGAUCUGGAGGAAUACCGAUUGCGAAGGCAGCCCCCUGGACAGUGACUGACGCUCAUAUGCGAAAGCGUGGGGAUCAAACAGGAUUAGAUACCCCCGUA
This 225-nucleotide ribosomal RNA is filed under the name uncultured Thorsellia sp. RNAcentral describes it as "partial 16S ribosomal RNA". It matches the Rfam family "Bacterial small subunit ribosomal RNA", at positions 568 to 792 of the family's 1533-position model. The record is from RNAcentral. Lineage: Bacteria; Pseudomonadati; Pseudomonadota; Gammaproteobacteria; Enterobacterales; Thorselliaceae.